Molecule: long non-coding RNA, 640 nt
Filed under: Vigna radiata
Lineage: Eukaryota; Viridiplantae; Streptophyta; Magnoliopsida; Fabales; Fabaceae
Description: long non-coding RNA (VRAD_LNC015839)
Source: RNAcentral
CCGCAAAUAACAAAGUAAAAAAAAUGGAGGCAAUAUUGAGUCACUUAUCUUCUUGCAAAUCGUCAAAUUCUUAUUUUUCAAAAAUAAUAAAAUAAGAUGAAAAAAGGAUGAUCAGAAACAAAGGUUACAAUGUCAAAUUUUGCCGAGGUCAAAUGUUUAUUCAAAAAUAACAUUUUGAUGUCUCCUUUCUAGAUGUUUGUGCACGUACUGCUUGAAAAUCCACACCCUCCACUUUCCCAAAAUAAAGGAUCUUCCCCAACAAACAAUGUCACUUCCCUCAGUAAAAAGUAAAUCUUUACAUUGGGGCAGAUUAGCCUGACCAAAAGUUGUCCUCGCUUGCGCUAGUAGGGCGAUCCCUAAAUCCAUUGAGACAAAAAAAAACAAAAAGAAGAAGCAUUCCACUAGAUUGAAAACCUGAAAGGGCGGUCUAGAAAAGGAAAAGCAAAACAAAAAAAAAAUGAUUUAUGUUGAAGUCAUCUAGUCACAAAGUUAAUGUUUUGAAAAUAGAGCAAUCAGAGUUCAAAAUGAUGUGUGACCUUCUUGUCUUUACCUAAAAACAAAAAAAUAUAUCCAUUGUCACCCCGUUUGAGCCAAAAAUAAUUUCUUUUUCAAAAUUAUCCCCACGCAAGGGUUAUCAUCA